CUGGAGGUGUCUGGGAAGUCUCAGAAAACC
This 30-nucleotide non-coding RNA is filed under the name Homo sapiens (human). Lineage: Eukaryota; Metazoa; Chordata; Mammalia; Primates; Hominidae. The record is from RNAcentral.